RNAcentral lists this transfer RNA (75 nucleotides) under Phaeobacter piscinae. RNAcentral describes it as "tRNA-Asp". Lineage: Bacteria; Pseudomonadati; Pseudomonadota; Alphaproteobacteria; Rhodobacterales; Roseobacteraceae. The record is from RNAcentral.
UUGCUGCGCAGUUCGGCCCAUUUGAUCAGCGCCUUGUCGCGGCGCGACAGUUCCGGGCGCAGCGGAAGCGGCGUA